AUACGGAGGGUGCAAGCGUUGUUCGGAAUUACUGGGCGUAAAGCGCGUGUAGGCGGUCGGGCAAGUCGAAUGUGAAAUCCCCGGGCUCAACCCGGGAAUUGCAUCCGAAACUGCUUGGCUAGAGUCCCGGAGAGGAAGGCAGAAUUCCCAGUGUAGGGGUGAAAUCCGUAGAUAUUGGGAGGAAUACCAGUGGCGAAGGCGGCCUUCUGGACGGUGACUGACGCUGAGACGCGAAAGCGUGGGGAGCAAACAGGAUUAGAUACCCCGGUAGUCC
RNAcentral lists this ribosomal RNA (274 nucleotides) under uncultured bacterium. Its description in RNAcentral is "partial 16S ribosomal RNA". It matches the Rfam family "Bacterial small subunit ribosomal RNA", at positions 523 to 796 of the family's 1533-position model. The record is from RNAcentral.